CGGAGCAAACACAAAACACAGUCUCAGUUCAGAUUGUAGGCUGAAACUCGCCUAUAUGAAGUCGGAAUUGCUAGUAAUCGCGGAUCAGCAUGCCGCGGUGAAUACGUUCCCGGGCCUUGUACACACCGCCCGUCACACCAUGAGAGUCGAUAACACCCGAAGCCUGUAGUCUAACAGCAAUGAGGACGCAGUCGAAGGUGGGAUUGAUAAUUAGGGUGAAGUCGUAACAAGGUAAC
RNAcentral lists this ribosomal RNA (236 nucleotides) under uncultured bacterium. RNAcentral describes it as "partial 16S ribosomal RNA". It matches the Rfam family "Bacterial small subunit ribosomal RNA", at positions 1263 to 1500 of the family's 1533-position model. The record is from RNAcentral.